CCCACCUUUCAUAUCGGCCGCCGCUCCCCUCCGAAGCUUCUCGAUCCCUCCCCCCGCUUCCGUUUCCGUUUCCGUUUCGUCCCCGUCGUCUCCCCCCUCGCCGCGGCGGCGGAGUCGCCCGCACUCGCUGCGCGCAGCGGUAGAGCUAUCGUGUUCGCCGCAGUCGUGAUCUUAGUGGUUUCGGCGAGGAACGAUGAGCCGACGUAACGGCCGCACCAUCUACGUGGGCAACCUCCCCGAGGACAUCCGCGAGAGAGAGAUUGAGGAUCUCUUCUACAAGUACGGUCCUAUUGUCGAUAUCGAUCUGAAAAUUCCUCCAAGGCCUCCUGUUUAUGCUUUUGUCGAGUUUGAAGACCCACGUGAUGCUGAUGAUGCAAUUUAUGGCCGUGAUGGAUACGACUUUGAUGGCUGCAAAUUGCGGGUGGAGUUAGCUCAUGGGGGAAAAGGCCCUUCUUUUGAUCGACCAAACAGCUAUACUAGUUCUGGACGUCGUGGUGCACUUAGGCGUUCUGAUUACCGCGUUAUUGUUACCGGAUUACCUUCUUCAGCAUCAUGGCAAGAUCUCAAGGAUCAUAUGCGGCGAGCUGGUGAUGUCUGUUUCUCUGAUGUUUAUCCUGAGGCUGGAGCAAUUACUGGAAUAGUUGAGUAUACCAACUACGAAGACAUGAAACAUGCGAUAAGGAAGCUUGAUGAUUCAGAGUUCCGUAAUGCAUUUUCACGCACAUAUAUCAGGGUGAGGGAGUACAAUGCUAGGGGUAGCCGCUCUUACUCGAGAAGUAGAAGCCGAAGCUGCUCUUACUCGAGAAGCAGAAGUCACAGUUAUAGCAGGAGCAGGAGUCCAAGGUCAUCAUCAAGAUCCCUAUCACCUGCCGCACCUGCGCGUGACAAGUCUGCAAGCAGGAGCCCCAUCAGGAGCAGAAGUUUACCCCGUUCUCAGUCUCCUGUGAAAUCUGAGUGAAGCCAGAUGCACUUGAAGUCAGAAAAAAAAACAUAUCAGGAUUUUUUGGAUUAGGACAAUAUAAUAUGGAUUGCGGGUGCUCUGUCUCAAGAAGUACCAUUGCUAUUCCUUGGAAGGAAAAACGUCAACUUUGUGGUUUGAGAUCAAUGUAGGAGUCUGGUGUUGUUUUACUUCUGCACUUCAGUUGCAAGAACGUAAAAUCGUGAACUCAUGGCUUUAACUUUAGUAUGCUAUAGUUCCGUGUCGAAAAACUUAAUGCUGCAGCAGAGUUUACAUAUGGUGUUCUGUGAUUUACUUCGACUUACAUCAGUAAUGUAGGGGUGCAAACGGGUACCCGGGUGUUCUCUGGUCCUCUUUAGUUCAACCAAAUGAACUAAAUUUUCAGUAGUAUCCGUGGAUACCUGAGGGCCACAAAUUUGCAUCCCAA
Molecule: ribosomal RNA, 1385 nt
Filed under: Triticum aestivum (bread wheat)
Lineage: Eukaryota; Viridiplantae; Streptophyta; Magnoliopsida; Poales; Poaceae
Description: partial small subunit ribosomal RNA
Source: RNAcentral